GGCGGGGGAGCUCUACCAAAUGGAGGUGGAGGCGGUGGUGGAGGAGCACUAGUAUGAGGCGGUGGAGGGGGGGCUCUACCAAAUGGAGGUGGAGGCGGUGGAGGAGGGGCUCUACCAAAUGGAGGUGGAGGCGGUGGAGGAGAGGCUCUACCAAAUGGAGGUGGAGGUGGUGGAGGGGGGGCUGUACUAAAUGGAGGUGGAGGCGGUGGAGGGGGAGCUCUACCAAAUGGAGGUGAAGGUGGUGGCGGAGGAGCACUACUAUAAGGAGGUGGAGGUGGUGGCGGAGGAGCACUACUAAAAGGGGGUGGAGGUGGCGGCGGCGGAGCACUAUUAUAAGGAGGUGGAGGUGGAGGCGGUGGAAGGGGAGCUUUAUUAAAAGGAGGGGGAGGUGGUGGAGGUGGAGUAGCACUACUAUAAGUAGGUGGAGGCGGUGGUGGAGGUGGUGGAGUAGCACUACUAUAAGGAGGUGGAGGUGGUGGAGUAGCACUACUAUAAGGAGGUGGAGGCGGUGGUGGUGGUGGUGGAGCACUACUAUAAGGAGGAGGAGGUGGUGGUGGUGGUGGUGGAGGUGGAAACUUUGGAACAUUGCUAAAAGGAGGUAGAGGGAGAGAUGGAGCAAGAGGAAGGGGUGUUGAUGGAGCUUUAUGUGAUGCAAUUGGGGGUGGUGGAGGAGGGGGUGGAGCCCUAUGUGUGGAAAAUGUAGGAAGAGGGGGAGGGGGAGGAGGAGGGGGAAUUCCAUGCUUUGGAGGUGUUGAUGAUGGCGGUGGAGGAGGGGCUACCACGGUAACAACUUCAGAAACUUUGGAUAAAUUGUCACUGAUGUAUGAGGGAAGUGGGAGAGAACCACUAGUCUCUUCAACUAUGGCGAUUGAUGAAUAGAGAGACUUCCAAGGAGAUGGAGGGGGAGGAGGAAGAGAAGUUGCAGUUUGUAAAUUCACCCCUACGUUUUGUCCAGUAAAUGAUGUUAAAGUUGGUGGCGGUGGUGGUGGUGGAGGUACAGUAGAUACGUUUCCACCUAAAGAGGAAGAUGGUGAAACUGGUGGCGGUGGAGGGACUUGAGGUGAUGCAUCAUCCUGUA
This 1078-nucleotide long non-coding RNA is filed under the name Lupinus angustifolius (narrow-leaved blue lupine). RNAcentral's name for it is "long non-coding RNA (LANG_LNC000006)". The record is from RNAcentral. Lineage: Eukaryota; Viridiplantae; Streptophyta; Magnoliopsida; Fabales; Fabaceae.